GAGGAGGAGCGGAGCGCGCGGGCGGGCGGCGGCGCGGGCGGGAGCCGGGGACGCGCAGCGCCGCCUCCGAGCCGCCCCUGCCCAGAUCGCUCCGCCGCCGCCGCCGCCGGGCCCGAACGUCCGCCCGGCCUUGGGACGGACCGCGGGGCCCCGUGACUCACCCUCCUGCUGCAGACAAAGCGCAGCGGCCACCUCCCCGAGCCAGCGCCAUGCGGCCACACGCGUGCAUGGCAGCCACACGCGUUGCCGGGAGCCGGGGCUGCGUGCCAAGAACCCGGGAACCGGCGCCCUGGGCUGGUCCCCAGGCGCCCUGCCCCAGCAGAGGACCCCGGCCUGCUCACGUGCGCACCCCGGAGAAACUUGUUACUGGCGUAACUUGGGCCACCAGGAAGGGUGGGGUGCGCGGUGCAGGGCCCGCCUCAGUGAAGUCCUUCAAAGCUCUUUACCUCCCGGCACUGGGAAGGUUGCAGGGCUCCUGGGAGGGAGAUUUCCACUAGCGCCAAACUAAGCGGCUACUUGAGCUGGCUUCUGGGCCUCCAAAACCUUGCUUUUAUUUCCAGCGUCUUUAUCUUCCACAUGAGGUACCAGUGGCCUUGUCUUCGGCUUGAGGGGUAACAAGACACUCCCAGAGGAGUAAGAUGAAGACAGCAUUUGGAUCACCGGAUCAAGCUGGGCACCAAAUACCCAUACACACGACUGAGUUAUAUAAGGCUGCACUAUGUCCAACAGAGACCGGUUCACCCCACAAGUCACCGCUCUGCUCUGCUCCUAUCCAAUCUGUACUGGGGGCAGUUGAGUGGAGUCUGCAGGUAAGUGUGGAAAUCACCGUGAGGGCUGACGGCCCAGCAGUUGCGAGCACUGCUCUAGCUGAAGAUCAGGGUUUCGUUGUGGCUCACAACUGCCCACCUCGACAGCUCCAAGCCAUCUGACACCCUUUCCUGGCCCCUGAAGGCACCCACACACCCAUGGCCCUCCACACAUGGCCACACACACAUGUGCCCCCUCACAUGGCCCACACACACUUGUGACACCAUACAUGUGGCACCCAUACAUAUGGCACCCACACAAGUGGCACACACACAUGUAACAUGCACGCAUGUAACAUGCGAAUGUGAUACACAGUGCGGCGCACACACACAACCUUUUUUUUUAGUUCCUUCAUCUGAACACUCAGCAUACUGUUACUACAUUGUGUGUGUGAGGUUCGUAUGCACACACCUGCUGUUCCAGACUUAAGUAUGACCCUCAAAUUGUUACCAACUGGACAAAGUGUCUUUUUUAAAUAUAAUUCUGAAUAAAAAUUAAGUGCUGUAAGAGAUCCAGGGUAUAAGAUCAGGACAUUUUAAGCUGGAAGUCUCUGAUUUCACAACCUUGUCUGAAUGUUUCAGAAGCGAUGUUUCCUCUUCCAAGACUGUGAACACAUUAUGUCUUUCUGCCACAGCAACAAGGUUGCUUGUGUGUCUUGGGGACAGCUACUUAACCCCUUAGUGUCCUCAUAUCCACGGCUAGAAAUUAUAGACUUGAAGGUCAGUUCGAAUACCAGUCCAGCUGACUUCCUUGUCUGGUAGCCCAAACCUAUUAGCAGGAAGCAACGGGCACCGAGUUCAUUUUUAAAAAUGGUUUAACGCUGGCAAACCCACAGAUGCCGUCGUUAAUGUGAUUACUAUCCGUACACCCUAAUUUCCAUCAGCAAAGUCGCCCCCUUGCGAUGGCCGUCAGUGCGGCUGACGGUGGAGGAACAAGAUGGACGGUGUCCUACGCACUUGGGCUGAAGCAUGGAGGCCACUCAGGUCUUUCUUCUUUCUCCGGUUCGCGCCCUGUGUGCAUCGUGGUAAGGAGAAAGACGAUUGGCCUCACUGCUGCUGGGGGGGGGGGUUAGAUACCAUGCAGGUCCAAGUCAUCUGGGCCCCAUGAAAACAGCACAUUUGGUGUCUGGAGAUUUUUGACACCCUGGGGUAGGUUUGCAAUGAGAAAUCUAAAUACUGGCUGGUUUGUGUGCCGCUGGUGUUUAAUCAGCAAUCCCGGAGAACAGAACCUGUGGAGCUGUGGGAUGCGUUUAGAGCAUUUGUGGUUCUCUCUGGGAUUUUUCUGAUGGUUUUAUUUCCAUAAGAGAAAACUCAAACACCCACCCAUGAUUUCCACAUCCUAAUAUGCCCAAGUGUUAAAAGAAAAAAAAGAAGGAUAAAAGCUGUUUUAUGGAUAUGAAGCCCUUGCUAUGUGCCUAGCAGCAUGGUAGACACCAAGGGAGAUGUCAAAGAAGCCAAAACUCGGUCUGUGACCACAGCAGGCCACAAUUUAGGUUAACAUAGAAAACCACACCCUGUGUGUACUCAGCUGAAGAGAAGGUCAGACAAAGCCUCAAGGAGAGAGAGGUUGAAACUCAGUUCCCAUCAGUGGACUGCAGGCUGCCUUCCUUUUGUCUUAUCUAUCCAAACGUUGUCUUAAAAUGGAGGCUCAUCUUGACGGCUCUCUCUGGAAAGCUGUGGAUUAGAGAAAUAUAUAUAUAUAUAUUUCUACCAUGCCUCAAAGUCCUGCUGGCGGUUGGUCUUUACAGUCAUGUGACAGAGGGAAGAAGCCCCUGGAGUGUGGUCAGUUCCUCUGUACGAGUGCCACAAGCAAAGUCACAAACGCUAGAAAUGUUAGAAAAUAAGUAAAUUGCUACAAGUUUGCCGUCUCAGAGGCGAACUCUGUGACCCCCCAUGAAGGAAUUUCCUAACUUGAGGGACUGGCAGUUCUCUCUGGUGUGAAUUUCCUCAAAUGGAACAGAAAGCUCUCUCUGAGUGCCAUAUUAUUUGUUGAGGUGAGUUUUCUCUGCUCUCGGGCAAACUUUCUGUGACCUAUGAGACAGGAUAACAUGCAACAGUAACAGUUCUUUUUCUAGGGGCUGGAGAGAUGGCUCAGUGGUUAAGAGAGUGGCUGUUCUCCCACAGGGACGCUCCCAGCACCAGUGUCACUUGACUGGCGACUACCUUGUAACCCCAGUUUCUCAAACGCCUGUGCUCAUGUGCUCACCCCCCACACACAUAAUUUAAAAUUAAUAAACCUUAGAAAAUCGGUCUUUUCAUCACAGUGAUUCUUCAGAUUCUCUAUGAUAAUGGGAAAUCUCUUUGUACUAAUCAUAGAUCCAAGACAGCUAUAGCAAUUAAUUUCCUUAAAACUGUAGAGACUCUCCUGUGGAGAAGGCAUAUUCAGAAAGCAUGACAUUUCUAUGUCUUCUCCCCUUCCCCCCACUCCUCUUCCACACCGGCUCUCAACCAUGCAGCCCUGGGUGGCCUACAACUCAGUACAUAGACCAGGUUGGCCUUGAACUCACAGAGCUCCACCUGGACCCUGCCUCCUGAGCACUGGGAUUAAAAGCAUACACCACCAUGCCCAGCUAGCUUAUUGCCUUCUAAAAUAGAUGUGAGCUGCACACACACACACACACACACACACACACACACACACACGGCUUUACCUAGAAAUCCAGGCUGGAACGGUGCAGGGCCGUUUGUGAACAUCUGUGAGUGGAGCCCUAUCUGUCUGUCCCUGCUUGUCCAUCACUAUUGGCACUGUAGGGCCCAGCGGGUCGGGUCUAUUACUUGUUUUUACUCACCACAGUGACCGAGACCUGACAGCAAGUAAUUUAACAGAAGGUGUGUUCUGACUCAUGGAGGCUGGAGAGCACAGGCAGGCACAGUUUACGAGGCUGCAUGGUGGAGCGUGUAGCUUCCUAUACCCAGGCAGAUGAAGAAGGAGAGGAAGAGAAAUAUUCAGUUGUCAACUGGCUUUUCCCUUUGCCUGCUUUAUUCAUUUCAGACCCUAGCACACGGGACGGCGUAGCCUUCCGGAUUGGCCUCUUCCCCCCUAGUUAAUCUAGUCUGGAAAAGCCCUCUCUGUGCACACACCCAAAGCAUCGUCGGUAGCUGUGUCAUCGUGUCAUGUGUCACGUCUGAAGCUGGCUGGAUCCCCCAGGUUAACUCCACGGGACUGAGCAUGCUGCCACGGCUGAAGGGGCACUCUGACCUCCUCCAGGCUCUCAGCGACCCUGGUUUAGAGACGAACUUUCCUUGCGCGUAGCACGCAUUCAGAGAAUGGCCUUGAGAGUGAGUUCCGUGGGGAGGACUCCCCAGCCUGGCAGGGAGAAUGGGCUACCUUAUUUGCACUUGCAAUAAGGUAGCUUGACCCAGAAAGCCAGACCACCAUUGUGCGGGGCCGGCUGUGCGCUUCCAUGUGAGCCGGUCACCUAGGGUAGCCCCGGCCUAAAACAGUCACAGCCAUUCUGAGUGCUCACCACCCACAGUGCUGCGUGCCCCAUCUGCCUCAGCCAAACUGCGUGCUUCUCAGAACAGUGCCUUGAUGGCGGCUUCUCCUCCGAGGCCUCUCCCCAGGAAGAAAACGCAGUUCCUGCAGGAAGAGCCCCGAUGUCCUCCGCUGAUCUGUCCUCUGGGAACUUGUCCAAAUGUUCCUCUCUAAGUUUCCCAUGCAUCCCGUUUAAAGAAAAGACGCUGACAUCUGGGUCACGCGUUGAGUCCACCGGGGCAGCCAGGCCCUUGUUGACUCUGGUCCAUAAAAAAGGAGCUGGUACCUAAGGAAAUUCCGGUGAGUGGAGCCAGGCGGAAAGCCUACAGACAGAGCAGUGGCCCUCCCCUGCCGCCAUGAAGGCACUUUGUGCCAGAGACAGUGGUUCUUGCUGGGAGCCCUGUGGGGAUUCAUUCCCGUCUCCAUUAGCAUUUCUGACAUCUAGGCAAGAGGUUUCCUGGUGCUGGGAAAGCGGCCUUGCCCUGGACACUUCUGCCUCAGCUGGACUUUAGUAUCCCCCUCCCCCCAGUAACUGUGUCAUGGUUUUAUGGCCCAAUAAAAGACCAUCUGUAUUUAUUUA
Molecule: long non-coding RNA, 4861 nt
Organism: Mesocricetus auratus (golden hamster)
Lineage: Eukaryota; Metazoa; Chordata; Mammalia; Rodentia; Cricetidae
Exons: 3
Source: RefSeq, a predicted model, not a curated record